AUGAUAGAAGAUGAGUGUAUGGUGAAGGAAGCAGUGUUCAAUCGUGAAAUCAAGGCAUUAUUGCAAAUUCGGCAUCGAAACAUCAUAAAAUUAUUUGGGUAUUGUUGCUCUAGUCAAGGAAAGUUCCUUAUCUAUGAAUAUAUGGAUAGAGGAGACUUAGCAAAAACACUGAGGGCCAAUGGAAGGGCAGUCGAGUUGGACUGGGGAAGGCGGACACAUAUUGUGUUAGGCGUGGUCCAUGCUUUGGCAUACAUGCAUCAUGAUUGUUCGCCACCAAUAGUCCAUGGAGAUAUAACAAGCAAAAAUAUUUUGCUUGAUCUGGAAUUUAGAGCAUGCAUCUCUGACUUUGGCACGGCUAAAAUUCUUUGUGGUCAAAAUCUCACAAGGCUUGCUGGAACGAAAGGCUAUAUUGCCCCAGAGCUAGCAUAUAUAGAUCAUGUGACGGAGAAAUGUGAUGUAUAUAGCUUUGGAGUGCUUGUUCUAGAGAUAUUUAUGGGAUCCAAUCCAGGCGAUUCGCUCUCAUCUCUCUCCUUGGGCACCAAGAAUAAUGAUGUGUGUCUGCAGGAUCUGCUGGACUCGAGGCUUGUGCUCCCAGAUGCUGAAACCGCUAAAGAAAUAUAUUGCAUGCUCACUGUUGCAGUCUAG
This 645-nucleotide ribosomal RNA is filed under the name Triticum aestivum (bread wheat). RNAcentral's name for it is "partial small subunit ribosomal RNA". The record is from RNAcentral. Lineage: Eukaryota; Viridiplantae; Streptophyta; Magnoliopsida; Poales; Poaceae.